This 345-nucleotide unclassified non-coding RNA is filed under the name uncultured fungus. RNAcentral describes it as "partial contains small subunit ribosomal RNA, internal transcribed spacer 1, and 5.8S ribosomal RNA". The stretch from base 1 to 73 matches the Rfam family "Eukaryotic small subunit ribosomal RNA", at positions 1759 to 1831 of the family's 1831-position model. Lineage: Eukaryota; Fungi. The record is from RNAcentral.
GCAAACUUGGUCAUUUAGAGGAAGUAAAAGUCGUAACAAGGUUUCCGUAGGUGAACCUGCGGAAGGAUCAUUACUGAGGUACGCUUGGUGUUGCGUCAGCACACUGGUUACCCGCCCUUAUGUCAUAAGUGCUGGACCAGCUCUGUCUUUACGGGAGAGUUUGGCCAGGAAUAUUAUUUCGGUCGAAGAGUUGUGUCAGGUGUCUGCUCGUCCAGACCGGGCAUAACCGCGACCGGCCACAAUAUCUACAAUCACUUGAGAAAGCAUGAAGUCUGAAGCUUAUGUUAAUAAAGCAAAACUUUCAACAACGGAUCUCUUGGCUCUGGCAUCGAUGAAGAACGCAGC